Molecule: non-coding RNA, 26 nt
Filed under: Homo sapiens (human)
Lineage: Eukaryota; Metazoa; Chordata; Mammalia; Primates; Hominidae
Source: RNAcentral
UGACGGCCAAGUGAUUUCUCUCCUGC